Molecule: ribosomal RNA, 253 nt
Filed under: uncultured bacterium
Lineage: Bacteria
Description: partial 16S ribosomal RNA
Rfam family: Bacterial small subunit ribosomal RNA
Source: RNAcentral
UACGUAGGGGGCAAGCGUUGUCCGGAAUCAUUGGGCGUAAAGCGCGUGUAGGCGGCCCGAUAAGUCCGCUGUGAAAGUCCAGGGCUCAACCCUGGAAUGCCGGUGGAUACUGUCGGGCUCGAGUCCGGAAGAGGCGAGUGGAAUUCCUGGUGUAGCGGUGAAGUGCGCAGAUAUCAGGAGGAACACCAAUGGCGAAGGCAGCUCGCUGGGACGGUACUGACGCUGAGACGCGAAAGCGUUGGUAGCAAACAGG